Molecule: long non-coding RNA, 4261 nt
Filed under: Lathyrus oleraceus (garden pea)
Lineage: Eukaryota; Viridiplantae; Streptophyta; Magnoliopsida; Fabales; Fabaceae
Description: Pisum sativum (pea) long non-coding RNA (PSAT_LNC010464)
Source: RNAcentral
CUACCUUCACUCUUACACGCCUCUCCCUCUCCCUCUUCUAUCUGGACUCACCCAAUAAAACAAAAAAUAAGAAAAGAAAAAGCUAAAAACUCAUAUACAUAUACCCGCAUUUCUCUCUCACAGGAGGACUCAUUCUCUGUAGCAUGAGAAAAGAGAAACAAAAAGAAAAGAAUAAGGAAAAAGAGUCAAAAUCCAACAAACCCACGGUUACCUCUUCUCUCCAUUUUUCCGCCUCUUACCAUAAACCCACCACCAUAAAUCACCGGCGAGCCAACCGCCAACAACCCCUCUCCGUUCUUCGCUCACAAACAUCGCGUGCCACAACCACAACCCUACGACGAACUCCCUUCGACUGACCUUCGCACCACCGAAAAACCCACUUCAGAUCCGGCCACGAGACCGCCGACGUCACCACCAACAUCCAUCCAACACCGUGUUCAAAUCACCAUUAAAACCAGCGAUCUCUCUCACUGUUCUCCCACCAAUUCACUUCCGACUCACCCCGAAACAACCUUCAUGUCCACCAUCAUCUACUUGUCAAACACACAUGACCGACCACCGCAUCUAACAUAAGAUUUCGUCGAUGUAUUCCACUUCCUUCACCAUACCACGACAUCGCCGCAUGAAUAAACUCAGUAACCAUGCUCCACGAACCUUCAAGCAACCAUACUAACGAGAUUGAGUCACUUCGUCGAGUUUGUUCUUGCAAGUUUUGGGGAAGAUUUAUUUCGGUUCGGUCAUGUUUACGACGACGGUAACAACUACAUGACUCUGCUCAAGUUUCUUUACAGCAACUCUAAAAUAAUAACAUAAUAGUCGGGCUUACUCUCUCCAGGUUCUUCCGCCGGCAGUGGUAAUUUUCACAUUCUUUAUAUUGUACCUUUUUAUUCAUGAUAUUUUGUUUUGAAAGGAUUUACUUGGAACAUAGAUCUUGCCUUUGUUUUUUUUGUUUUUAAAGAAAAUAUGCCAUCACUUAGUUAUUCAAAUGACAUGAUUUACAUUUUGGUGCAUGUUGAUUAGCUUAUUUGGUUGCAAAUGCAUGUCAAGGUGUUGCUUAUCUUGGCAGAACGAUAUUUCCCCUUUCCUUUUUAGGAAUAAAUAAAGUUCGGUGGCGACUCUGUUCAGUCCAUCAUUGCGAGCGUGCGAUUGCGCUUCGCUUUGAAGUCGUAUCCCCAUUUUUUCGAGGUGCGACAGUAUCCUCGAAGAGUCUUAGAUUUAAUUAAGGUAUCUUCCCCUUACUGGAACAUCUUAAUUCUAUCAGAUAAGAUGCUAGUUCGACCCGAUACAGAGAAUCUCACUUUUACUGUUUGAGAUGUUGCUUCAUCAAUAUGAAGAGUCUCAUUUCAUAUUUUUUUAGAGAUACUGCUCUAAUAUCCUUGGAGAGUCUUAGAUUCAAUUAAGGUAUUUUUCCCUUGCUGGAACAUCUUAAUUUUAUCAUAUAAGAUGCUGCUUCGACCCGAUACAGAGAAUCUCAUUUUUACUGUUUGAGAUGCUGCUUCAUCAAUAUGAAGAGUCUCAUUUCAGAUUUUUUUUAAAGAUACCGCUCUAAUAUCCUCGGAGAGUCUUAAGUUCAAUUAAGGUAUCAUUUCCUUGCUAGGAAUAUCUUAAUUCUAUCAUAUAAGAUGCUGCUUCGAUUUGAUACAGAGAAUCUCAUUUUGCUGUUUGAGAUACUGCUUCAUUUAUCUGAAGAAUCUCAUUUAUCUGUUUGAGAUACUGCUUCAUUUAUAUGAAGAAUCUCAUUUUAUCUGUUUGAGAUAUUGCUUCAUUUAUCUGAAGAAUCUCAUUUUAUCUGUUUGAGAUACUGCUUCGUUUAUCCAAAGAAUCUCAUUUGUCUUCAAGAUACUGCUUCAGUAUCCUCGGAGAAUCUUAGAUACGAUUGAAGUAUCAUUCCCUUGUCGGAAUAUCUCGAUUAUAUCAUGUAAGAAACUGCUCCGUUGAUCCCCAGAGAAUAUCAUGUUUUCUGUUCAAGAUAAUGUUCUGCUAAUUUUCAAAAAGUCUUAGAUACCAUUGAGGUAUCAUUCUAUUGUUGGAAUAUCUCAAUCAUGGCAUCCAAGAUUCUGUUCCGAUGAUUCCCAGAGAGUCUUGACUGUUUCAUUUACCUUCUAAUAAAAACCUUUUCUUACCGUAUUUUUCACUGCAUUUUUGUUUUUGCAUUUCUUCCUUGCAUUUUCUAGGACAAAAUUUGGGUCUUUUCGUAUUUAAUUAUCUUCCACUACAAAUGUAUGAAGACUGUUGUCAUUCUUACCUUCUAGUUCAAGAUAAUAAAAUAGGGGCAGCUGUCAUACCCCAAUUUUGUCCGGGCAUAUUUAAAUUUUUGUAAAAUCGAUUUCAUUUUUAAUUUGCAUCAUAUGCACAACAUGACAUACAUUCCAUCAUGAAUAAUAAUUAAAAUAUCAGUCAGAAUAAAUUUAUUGAAAAUACGGACAAAUCGGUUGAAUCAUUUCUCAAGAACGUGCACAAAUCAACGGGUAAAAAGUUUCAAAAUUAAAAUUACAGACUCCAGUAUUAUUAAUCUACGGUUCACGUAGUUUAACCUGGUGUGCUCGUUGUUUAUUUUAGCAGCUGUUUCGAUUGCAUUUUGACCCGCCUAAGCCUUUUAACCGGUGCAAAUUUAUUUCAGAGUUUGAAGAAACGCUGUAUUUUUUCAAUAAGUAUAUUUUGUGCUGAUCAUUUUAGUGUGUCUGAUUUAAUUUUUCGAGCAAAUUUUCGUCCGACUUCUAUUUAUAAUCGGUCCUUUUAUUUCUUUGUUCUAGUAUCCAAAUUAGAGAUUGUUUUAUUAUUAUUAUUACUUAAAUAAAAUUAUUGUUUAGGAAUUUUUAAUAAAUAUUUUUCUUUAAUAAUAGGUAAUAAUAAUGGUUAACAAAUAAUAUAUAUUUUUAAUAUUGGAUCCUUUUUAAAUAGCUAGCAUUAAAAAUCUUUAAAAAAACUUUUUUUGACAUCUCAUGUCUCUCUCAUCACUCUCCACUACACGUUUCCUCUCUCUCUCUCACGCUUCCUCUCUCUCACACGUUACCCUCAUAAUAUUCCAAGACUCCUACCUUCACUCUUACACGCCUCUCCCUCUCCCUCUUCUAUCUGGACUCACCCAAUAAAACAAAAAAUAAGAAAAGAAAAAGCUAAAAACUCAUAUACAUAUACCCGCAUUUCUCUCUCACAGGAGGACUCAUUCUCUGUAGCAUGAGAAAAGAGAAACAAAAAGAAAAGAAUAAGGAAAAAGAGUCAAAAUCCAACAAACCCACGGUUACCUCUUCUCUCCAUUUUUCCGCCUCUUACCAUAAACCCACCACCAUAAAUCACCGGCGAGCCAACCGCCAACAACCCCUCUCCGUUCUUCGCUCACAAACAUCGCGUGCCACAACCACAACCCUACGACGAACUCCCUUCGACUGACCUUCGCACCACCGAAAAACCCACUUCAGAUCCGGCCACGAGACCGCCGACGUCACCACCAACAUCCAUCCAACACCGUGUUCAAAUCACCAUUAAAACCAGCGAUCUCUCUCACUGUUCUCCCACCAAUUCACUUCCGACUCACCCCGAAACAACCUUCAUGUCCACCAUCAUCUACUUGUCAAACACACAUGACCGACCACCGCAUCUAACAUAAGAUUUCGUCGAUGUAUUCCACUUCCUUCACCAUACCACGACAUCGCCGCAUGAAUAAACUCAGUAACCAUGCUCCACGAACCUUCAAGCAACCAUACUAACGAGAUUGAGUCACUUCGCCGAGUUUGUUCUUGCAAGUUUUGGGGAAGAUUUAUUUCGGUUCGGUCAUGUUUACGACGACGGUAACAACUACAUGACUCUGCUCAAGUUUCUUUACAGCAACUCUAAAAUAAUAACAUAAUAGUCGAGCUUACUCUCUCCAGGUUCUUCCGCCGGCAGUGGUAAUUUUCACAUUCUUUAUAUUGUACCUUUUUAUUCAUGAUAUUUUGUUUUGAAAAGAUUUACUUGGAACAUAGAUCUUGCCUUUGUUUUUUUUUUGUUUUUAAAGAAAAUAUGCCAUCACUUAGUUAUUCAAAUGACAUGAUUUACAUUUUGGUGCAUGUUGAUUAGCUUAUUUGGUUGCAAAUGCAUGUCAAGGUGUUGCUUAUCUUGGCAGAUAAAUUGUCUCCCUGCUUGGAGUUGUGUGGCAAAAGAAAAAUGUUUAUAGUUGUUAUUUUUUUUGCUAUUUAUGUUUAAGAUAUGUUUUGUAAUUAUGUUGUUUUUGCUGCAUGAUUUGUAGCCGUAUGAAUGCAAUUUGUGGUUAUAAUGUGUCUAU